Long non-coding RNA from Brassica oleracea var. oleracea, 687 nucleotides. RefSeq lists it as uncharacterized. The transcript has 3 exons. Lineage: Eukaryota; Viridiplantae; Streptophyta; Magnoliopsida; Brassicales; Brassicaceae. The record is from RefSeq and is a predicted model, not a curated record.
GCUUCGUCUCUACACGGUCUGCGGUGACUUCUGAUAGAAAGACGCCUUUGUACGUCAUAUCAUGUUCAUCCUAUUGCCUAUGAAAAUCAGAUUGGGUUACAUACAUUUUUUAUUUCCGACCAAUCUUUGUUCGAAGUCAGCGCUUGUGUCUAUCACUUGAUGUUCUGCCUACCGGCUUCCAAUAUCCAGAAUCGUUACGGAAACUGCAAGCAUUCAAUCAUGAUUAUCAAAUCUCUACCCGGUCCCUCACACAAUGUCUCAUUCAAUACAUCCCCUCAUUUCUUCAAUGAGAUUACAAUUGCAAACUCCUCUGUUAAUCGCCGCCGUAAGUGUUUCUCGCCGACUUGAAAAUCGGAAUUUGUAGCACCACCGUCGAGGUUCGACUUCUGAGAUCUUGGGAGGGAGGCGGCGAGCUAAUAUAUGUCGACAUGCAAUUCCUAGACGCAAAGUGUGUUUGUAUCCUCCAGCAAUUGAUACAACCAUAUAGGACAAGUGCGUAACUUCAGUGAAGAUGUGUCUCAAAUGCCUGAAAUCAAAGACAGUGAUGUUCUGAAUGCUUAGAAAGGCUUGAUGGCUACAGAUUUGGAAGCUCUACCUUCUGCUGUUGUUCACGACACCAAAAACACAAUCUCGAAAAACACAGAGGACAAGGCAGGGCAAGAGGCUGGGUCUGAUCAUUAGUUCGCC